Long non-coding RNA from Ostrea edulis (European flat oyster), 621 nucleotides. RefSeq lists it as uncharacterized. The record is from RefSeq and is a predicted model, not a curated record. NCBI's taxonomy places the organism in Eukaryota, Metazoa, Mollusca, Bivalvia, Ostreida, Ostreidae. The transcript is spliced from 2 exons.
CGGAAGUAAACAAUUCUGGUUUCACUAUUAGAAAUCCUAAUCUCGAUCACUUGCUUGUUUGAGAAAAUACAUAUAUAUCCUAUACGCAAAUGGCAGCGUGCUUGCCAAGCACAUUGCUGGCAACAGGGCUCGCGCUGCCCAUUGCAUUUUGCGAUUUUUCAAGGGGAAAAUGCGAUAGAAAUUCCGGAAAUGCGACACGGACAUUUCGUAUUUUAGAUAUCUCGGCGCCAUCUUGAAUGUCAGCUGUUGGCAUCCAAACAGCCUCGGGGCUGUUUUACCUGUGCAGAAUGAAUGUGGAUACCCUGUAGCAUGGAAACAAUAAGACUUAGGGGCGUCUUGUUUAUUUAGCAGUUUACACAAGACAAAGGGUUGAUCCUCUAUGUGCAGACUUCCUGAAGCCCCUUCUCCACAAGAGAUUCACUAAAGGACCACCUUGUCAUUCUGGAUUUCAAGAUGAAAACAGGAUUCUUAAGAGAAUUCUUUGAGUAAUGUGAUGUGAAACUAUGAUGAUGUGUUAUGUUUACAGAAAUUAAUCUUCAGUAACGUUGUCAUCAGUGACUUUUUCUGAGUAUUAUAUGUCAUUUACACUAAUAACAUAAUUAAUAAACAUAUAGACACUCA